UACAAAGGAGGAGCUAUUGCAUCAUACUAAGAGUACAGAAAGCCAAGAAGGCCAAACAACAAAUCAAACACGGUGUGGUAGAUGCAUAUACUAUGCCGUGGGGCAUAACAGUCAUACUGUGCUUUUUUUGUUCACAGUGGACCUUAAAGCUAGGGAGGAAACUCUAUAGCAACUUCAACUAUUUUGAGAAGGGCAAGGAAGGUGAAAAGAGAAAUAGGAAAGCAGGAAAAGUACCACAAUCCUGUUGUACAACACUCAGCAGCCCUGAAGGCACGAAUGCAACAAGGACUCAGUAUUUCUCUGCACUGAAUACUCUCUCUUUCUGAUUCUUGGUGCUGGCUGUGGCUUGAGAAAUGUUAAGAAACAGGUAACGGAGAUUGUCUGGUAUGCCCUAUGAAAUGUAGAGAAACUACUCCCAAGCAGCUCACAAAAGCAGAAGGAGCAAGAAGUGCACACUCAAUGAAGGCUGAAACGUGUUUACAGAGGCCAACAGGAAAUCCAUUUGAAUGCUCACUUUGAAAUAAAGAGAUGAGACAAUUAAAGACCAUCCAGGAAGAGGUGAGCCUACUUUCAUGAAAUGUUGCUGCUCUUCUCAAAUGUGUAGAUUUCUCUUUUAAAAUCCUGUUAUUUUAACUAUUAAAGACCAUUACACUACCAAAAUGUUGUCAACAGCUGCAACAAGCUAGAAAUAAGGAAGGAUUUUGUUUGGUUUACAUGUUUAAAUGAACCAAUUGAGAUUACACUUCCCAGUCUGAUGUAUAGAUUAAACACAGUUAUAUUUUGGAUUACACAUUUCUCCAAUGUGUUUUUGUUGGAGAUGUCUUCUUCUCAAGAAUCUUUAAAAGGAAAUUGUCAGAAUGUCUGUAUGUAUAGGAAAUGUUGUACAAAUGUGUGUUUGAUGGCUUUUUAAAAAAAAAUUGAGGACUCAUAGUUUCUAGUGGUGACUCAUUCCUUUUUGGUUAACUGUAAUUCAAUAAAAUCUUUAUUGCAUUUUCCAGUGUUUCCAACAAAACUGCCAAGUUUAUAUCUGAACAUAUCAAUGGAAUAGACAUUCCAUGUCUUUUGCUACUGUUGAGUUCUGAGUAUUAUUUACUUGAUUAUAAAGCCCAGUUUGAUGGGACACAAUCACUAUUCUGUUCUCCAUUACCCACCCAAAGCUGUAUUACUCAGAGAUCUCUUUGAAUAAAUAAAAUGACCUAAUGAGUUAGUUCUCUGCCAUGGAAUUCAAAUGCCUGUAUUAAAAUGUCAAACCAAACUCACCCUCUUGCCCCUAGCCUUUUUAUUUGACUAAAAAGACAGAAGAAAGAAGCAACUUGAACCAUGACUUAAGCCUAGUUUACUCAUUGUGCACAAAGAGGAGAUGGGUGAAUAGGUCAUUUUACUGUAUGUGCAUAUCACAACACCCAGCUCCAUUCCAUGUACACAUGUCCAAGCCUUGUUUUGCUACUGAACCAUCCCAAACUCAGCAAAAAGCAAACACCCUCGCUCAUUCUGCACACAAGAGGCAUGCGAAUGAUAUGAAGUCUUUUGUACUU
Molecule: long non-coding RNA, 1535 nt
Organism: Anolis carolinensis (green anole)
Lineage: Eukaryota; Metazoa; Chordata; Lepidosauria; Squamata; Anolidae
Exons: 3
Source: RefSeq, a predicted model, not a curated record